GUCCACGCCGUAAACGAUGUGAGUUUGUCGCUGGGAGGUUUACCUCUCGGUGACGCAGCUAACGCGAUAAGCUCACCGCCUGGGAAGUACGGUCGCAAGAUUAAAACUCAAAGGAAUUGACGGGGACCCCGCACAAGCGGUGGAGUAUGUGGUUUAAUUCGUCGCAACGCGAAGAACCUUACCAGGCCUUGACAUGCCCUCUAUGGGAUCCAGAGACGGAUCCCUUCACUUCGGGUGGGAGGAGCACAGGUGCUGCAUGGCUGUCGU
Molecule: ribosomal RNA, 267 nt
Filed under: uncultured bacterium
Lineage: Bacteria
Description: partial 16S ribosomal RNA
Rfam family: Bacterial small subunit ribosomal RNA
Source: RNAcentral